RNAcentral lists this long non-coding RNA (234 nucleotides) under Ananas comosus (pineapple). RNAcentral's name for it is "long non-coding RNA (ACOM_LNC038470)". The record is from RNAcentral. Lineage: Eukaryota; Viridiplantae; Streptophyta; Magnoliopsida; Poales; Bromeliaceae.
ACCAACACGUGAAAAAAUAAUUCACUAAGAGAAAAGAUUACAAGGUGAUUACCGACUCCACGGACUCAACCUCUCAUAACCUCCUAUGAAUCUUCGCGCUACCCUCCGGGUUGUCCACGCCCUCACGUUCGAAUCCACGAACGCCUCCACUUCGAAUCCACGAAGCUUCAAUCACGCCGAAUCCACGACGCCACUCGAAUCCACGAGCCAAUGCUCCGAAUCCACGAACCGCCU